This 774-nucleotide ribosomal RNA is filed under the name uncultured eukaryote. RNAcentral describes it as "partial small subunit ribosomal RNA". The record is from RNAcentral.
GUUGAAUUCAAGUAAAAGGUAGCAUGCACGGGCUGUUGUGCUCCCCCGUGCAAUUGCUCUAAGUUUCAACCGAGCGACCGUACUCGACAGGCGGCAGACUUAACAGUUAUCAUAGAGUAGCUGCACCUAUUCGUGAUAGGCGCAACACCAAAGUUAUCAUAAAAUACUGCAGGGGGCUACUCGGGUAUCUAAUGAGAUUGGUUCUAGUAGCAUUCGUCACUCAUCGUCGGAGGUGUUUUGGUCAGGCGCAUUUGCCACCGGUAGUCUUCAUAGGAUUACAAGAUUUUACCCUUACCCCAUGAAUAAUCAUGACAUCUCCCACUCCUUAGUUGAAAGGUAUGUUAUGCACGCACUGACGUCAGGCACCAAUAUUUCACAUAAGACGGUUUCAUCCGGCUAUAGACGUAUUAAGCCCAAUAAUAGUGAACACCACGCGUGCCGCCGGUAUUAGCGUGGCGGCAGCCACUGGUUUUACCCAGCAGUUAUUGAGCAAGCUAUUUGGAAUUAGCAAAAGGUGCACCGAAGUGCACCAUUCAGACUCCCCCCAUCACACAGGGUGCAUUGUGGAGUAUGGGCCCGUGAUGCACGCGGUAGCGAUAGGGCCCAGGUCUCAGUGCCGUCAUCGGGGCUCUUACUCUCAUAUCCCCUGGUGGUCAACGGUAUGGUGGGCCGGUACGGAUCCAUAUGCCUGAUCAGAAGCAGUCUCAUCGCAGAGCAGUACACGCUACAAUUCGCGGACUUUAGGAGCUACAAUUCAUUCCAGAAUUGGUAGCA